RNAcentral lists this ribosomal RNA (381 nucleotides) under uncultured eukaryote. Its description in RNAcentral is "partial 18S ribosomal RNA". It matches the Rfam family "Eukaryotic small subunit ribosomal RNA", at positions 592 to 976 of the family's 1831-position model. The record is from RNAcentral.
CAAUAGCGUAUAUUAAAGUUGUUGCGGUAAAAAAGCUCGUAGUUGGAUUUCUACCGAAGAUAGCCGGUCGGGUCUUCGACCUUGUAUCUGGUUUUGUCUUUGGUAUCCUCAUAGGGAACGUUUCUGCGCUUUAUUGCGUGGUGUGGUAUCUAUGACUUUUACUUUGAGGAAAUUAGAGUGUUCACGGCAGGCAAACGCCUUGAAUAUAUUAGCAUGGAAUAAUAACAUAGGAUCUUCGUCCUAUUUUGUUGGUUUCUAGGGCUAAGAUAAUGAUUAAUAGGGAUAAUUGGGGGCAUCUGUAUCAACGCGUCAGAGGUGGAAUUCUUGGAUUGCGUUGCGACAAACUACUGCGAAAGCAUUUGCCAAGGAUGUUUUCAUUGA